UACGUAGGGGGCUAGCGUUGUCCGGAUUUAUUGGGCGUAAAGAGCGUGUAGGCGGCCAGAUAGGUCUGCUGUGAAAACUCGAGGCUCAACCUCGAGAUGUCGGCGGAAACCAUUUGGCUAGAGUCCGGAAGAGGAAAGUGGAAUUCCUGGUGUAGCGGUGAAAUGCGCAGAUAUCAGGAAGAACACCCGUGGCGAAGGCGGCUUUCUGGGACGGUACUGACGCUGAGGCGCGAAAGCUAGGGGAGCAAACAGG
This 253-nucleotide ribosomal RNA is filed under the name uncultured bacterium. RNAcentral describes it as "partial 16S ribosomal RNA". It matches the Rfam family "Bacterial small subunit ribosomal RNA", at positions 524 to 776 of the family's 1533-position model. The record is from RNAcentral.